Anthonomus grandis grandis is the source of this 593-nucleotide long non-coding RNA. RefSeq lists it as uncharacterized. NCBI's taxonomy places the organism in Eukaryota, Metazoa, Arthropoda, Insecta, Coleoptera, Curculionidae. The record is from RefSeq and is a predicted model, not a curated record. The transcript is spliced from 2 exons.
AGGAAUAUUUUCAAUCGAACCCGUUUUUUCAAAUUUAUUUAUCCCAGAUUUGAUGAGAUUGGUGCUUCAUUGACGUUGUGAAGAGCAUAACGAGCACGAAACCGACGCCGAACUGCGGUGUAGGAAUGAUUUAAUUCAUAAAAACUACAGAUACAAAACGCACGUUGUUGGGCAUCAAACCGAAUUCUGACAAUAAAUUUCCAAGGAUUGAUUUACCCAUUGCGAAAAAUGGGAGUGACCAAAGAAGUCCAAGAGGCUAAAAUAACUAUCUGAAAAAUACACAUAUAAAAUUAUAAAUAAGACGAAAUUGAGAAAGCUUACAACGUCGGUGACAAAAUAGUUCAAAUCGUCCCCAGCGAUUUUCUCGUCAAGGAAUUGCAGCAGGGGCAGCAUAAAAUACUUGGCGAAAUGCCGAAAUAUAUGCACCAUGUUAUCAAUGACUUUAACCCAGAAAAUUUUUAUAUUUUUGUGUGUGGCAGGAUUAAGUAAAAGUUGAACGAUACCUGUAAAUAGAUGCUAUAUAAUAGAUAUAAUAAAUAAAUAGAUAAAAAUUGUCUCGGGCAAUAUAAUAAAUAGAAAGUUAGUCAAACGGA